UCUUCCCUCUUUCUUCGUGCCUAAUACAUGCAAGUCGAGCGAACGGACGAGAAGCUUGCUUCUCUGAUGUUAGCGGCGGACGGGUGAGUAACACGUGGAUAACCUACCUAUAAGACUGGGAUAACUUCGGGAAACCGGAGCUAAUACCGGAUAAUAUUUUGAACCGCACGGUUCAAAAGUGAAAGACGGUCUUGCUGUCACUUAUAGAUGGAUCCGCGCUGCAUUAGCUAGUUGGUAAGGUAACGGCUUACCAAGGCAACGAUGCAUAGCCGACCUGAGAGGGUGAUCGGCCACACUGGAACUGAGACACGGUCCAGACUCCUACGGGAGGCAGCAGUAGGGAAUCUUCCGCAAUGGGCGAAAGCCUGACGGAGCAACGCCGCGUGAGUGAUGAAGGUCUUCGGAUCGUAAAACUCUGUUAUUAGGGAAGAACAUAUGUGUAAGUAACUGUGCACAUCUUGACGGUACCUAAUCAGAAAGCCACGGCUAACUACGUG
This 497-nucleotide ribosomal RNA is filed under the name uncultured bacterium. RNAcentral's name for it is "partial 16S ribosomal RNA". It matches the Rfam family "Bacterial small subunit ribosomal RNA", at positions 36 to 507 of the family's 1533-position model. The record is from RNAcentral.